Molecule: non-coding RNA, 54 nt
Organism: Salmo salar (Atlantic salmon)
Lineage: Eukaryota; Metazoa; Chordata; Actinopteri; Salmoniformes; Salmonidae
Source: Rfam
GCGUAAUGAUGGUGUAAGUCGCUCUGGAUAAGAGCGUCUGCUAAAUGACGUAAA